UUGCUUCUUGAUUGAUUGUAUUAUCAUCUCCAGGUAUUGCGGAUAACACGUCGAAUGAGGAAGCUAUCGACCUAGAUUGAGCCUUGUAUAUUGUGAAGAAGCUUGUAGAUUUCUGACGUGUGUAUACAUCAGGAGCUCAUGGAUGUUGUUGCCAAGUAUGGUUGGACAUAGGACGUAUUAGUUUGGUUUGAUUUUGUUUUCGAUUUUGGUUUGACAUAUAUCAUAAUAUAAUUGUUGAAUUGACUCAA
Molecule: non-coding RNA, 248 nt
Organism: Corylus avellana
Lineage: Eukaryota; Viridiplantae; Streptophyta; Magnoliopsida; Fagales; Betulaceae
Source: RefSeq, a predicted model, not a curated record